This 301-nucleotide ribosomal RNA is filed under the name uncultured bacterium. RNAcentral's name for it is "partial 16S ribosomal RNA". It matches the Rfam family "Bacterial small subunit ribosomal RNA", at positions 509 to 807 of the family's 1533-position model. The record is from RNAcentral.
CAGUCGCCACGGGAAUACGAAGGGUGCAAGCGUUAAUCGGAAUUACUGGGCGUAAAGCGUGCGUAGGCGGUUUGUUAAGUCUGUUGUGAAGUCCCCGGGCUCAACCUGGGAAUGGCAAUGGAUACUGGCAAACUAGAGUGUGUCAGAGGAUGGUGGAAUUCCCGGUGUAGCGGUGAAAUGCGUAGAGAUCGGGAGGAACAUCAGUGGCGAAGGCGGCCAUCUGGGCCAACACUGACACUGAGGCACGAAAGCGUGGGGAGCAAACAGGAUUAGAUACCCCCGUAGUCCCUGUCUCUUAUAC